UACGUAGGGUGCGAGCGUUGUCCGGAAUUACUGGGCGUAAAGAGCUCGUAGGUGGUUUGUCGCGUUGUCCGUGAAAACUCACAGCUCAACUGUGGGCGUGCGGGCGAUACGGGCAGACUGGAGUACUGCAGGGGAGACUGGAAUUCCUGGUGUAGCGGUGGAAUGCGCAGAUAUCAGGAGGAACACCGAUAGCGAAGGCAGCUCGCUGGGACGGUACUGACGCUGAGGUGCGAAAGCGUGGGGAGCGAACAGG
Molecule: ribosomal RNA, 253 nt
Filed under: uncultured bacterium
Lineage: Bacteria
Description: partial 16S ribosomal RNA
Rfam family: Bacterial small subunit ribosomal RNA
Source: RNAcentral